UACGUAGGUGGCAAGCGUUGUCCGGAUUUACUGGGCGUAAAGAGCGCGCAGGCGGUCGUUCAAGUCGCGUGUGAAAGCCCCCGGCUCAACUGGGGAGGGUCACGCGAUACUGAUCGACUGGAAGGCAGGAGAGGGUAGUGGAAUUCCCGGUGUAGUGGUGAAAUGCGUAGAUAUCGGGAGGAACACCGGUGGCGAAGGCGGCCCCCUGGACCGGUACUGACGCUGAGGCGCGAAAGCGUGGGUAGCAAACGGG
RNAcentral lists this ribosomal RNA (253 nucleotides) under uncultured bacterium. RNAcentral's name for it is "partial 16S ribosomal RNA". It matches the Rfam family "Bacterial small subunit ribosomal RNA", at positions 524 to 776 of the family's 1533-position model. The record is from RNAcentral.